Molecule: ribosomal RNA, 468 nt
Filed under: uncultured bacterium
Lineage: Bacteria
Description: partial 16S ribosomal RNA
Rfam family: Bacterial small subunit ribosomal RNA
Source: RNAcentral
GACGAACGCUGGCGGCGUGCUUAACACAUGCAAGUCGAACGGAAAGGCCCUGCUUUUGUGGGGUGCUCGAGUGGCGAACGGGUGAGUAACACGUGAGUAACCUGCCCUUGACUGUGGGAUAACUUCAGGGAACUGGGGCUAAUACCGGAUAGGAGCUCCUGCUGCAUGGUGGGGGUUGGAAAGUUUCGGCGGUUGGGGAUGGACUCGCGGCUUAUCAGCUUGUUGGUGGGGUAGUGGCGUACCAAGGCUUUGACGGGUAGCCGGCCUGAGAGGGUGACCGGCCACAUGGGGACUGAGAUACGGCCCAGACUCCUACGGGAGGCAACAGUGGGGAGUAUUGCACAGUGGGCGGAAGCGUGAUGCAGCAGCGCCGCGUGCGGGAUGACGGCCUUCGGGUUGUAAACCGCUUUCGCAUGUGACGAAGCGUGAGUGACGGUACUGGGUAAAGAAGCACCGGCUAACUACGUG